Molecule: ribosomal RNA, 680 nt
Filed under: Sarocladium spinificis
Lineage: Eukaryota; Fungi; Ascomycota; Sordariomycetes; Hypocreales; Sarocladiaceae
Description: partial large subunit ribosomal RNA
Rfam family: Eukaryotic large subunit ribosomal RNA
Source: RNAcentral
GUAACGGCGAGUGAAGCGGCAACAGCUCAAAUUUGAAAUCUGGCCGCAAGGUCCGAGUUGUAAUUUGCAGAGGAUGCUUUUGGCGAGGUGCCUUCCGAGUUCCCUGGAACGGGACGCCAUAGAGGGUGAGAGCCCCGUACGGUAGGACCACCGAGCCUUUGUAAAGCUCCUUCGACGAGUCGAGUAGUUUGGGAAUGCUGCUCUAAAUGGGAGGUGUACGUCUUCUAAAGCUAAAUACCGGCCAGAGACCGAUAGCGCACAAGUAGAGUGAUCGAAAGAUGAAAAGCACUUUGAAAAGAGGGUUAAAAAGUACGUGAAAUUGUUGAAAGGGAAGCAUUCAUGACCAGACUUGGGCUUGGUUGAACAUCCGGCGUUCUCGCCGGUGCACUCUGCCAGUCCAGGCCAGCAUCAGUUUGCCCCGGGGGACAAAGGCGGUGGGAAUGUGGCUCUCUCCGGGGAGUGUUAUAGCCCGCCGUGUAAUGCCCUGGGGCGGACUGAGGAACGCGCUUCGGCUCGGAUGCUGGCGUAAUGGUCAUCAAUGACCCGUCUUGAAACACGGACCAAGGAGUCGUCUUCGUAUGCGAGUGUUCGGGUGUCAAACCCCUACGCGAAAUGAAAGUGAACGUAGGUGAGAGCUUCGGCGCAUCACCGACCGAUCCUGAUGUUCUCGGACGGAUUUG